AAAUGCGAUAAGUAAUGUGAAUUGCAGAAUUCAGUGAAUCAUCGAAUCUUUGAACGCACCUUGCGCUCCUUGGUAUUCCUUGGAGCAUGCCUGUUUGAGUAUCAUGAAAUCUUCAAAGUAAAUCUUUUGUUAACUCAAUUGGUUUCUACUUUGGUAUUGGAGGUCUUUGCAGCUUCACACCUGCUCCUCUUUGUUCAUUAGCUGGAUCUCAGUGUUAUGCUUGGUUCCACUCGGCGUGAUAAGUUAUCUAUCGCUGAGGACACUGUAAAAGGUGGCCAAGGUAGAUGCAGAUGAACCGCUUCUAAUAGUCCAUUGACUUGGACAAUACUUUUAUGAUCUGAUCUCAAAUCAGGUAGGACUACCCGCUGAACUUAAGC
RNAcentral lists this unclassified non-coding RNA (377 nucleotides) under plant metagenome. RNAcentral's name for it is "partial contains 5.8S ribosomal RNA, internal transcribed spacer 2, and large subunit ribosomal RNA". The stretch from base 1 to 104 matches the Rfam family "5.8S ribosomal RNA", at positions 51 to 154 of the family's 154-position model. The record is from RNAcentral.